This is a non-coding RNA of Zopfochytrium polystomum, 83 nucleotides long. NCBI's taxonomy places the organism in Eukaryota, Fungi, Chytridiomycota, Chytridiomycetes, Chytridiales, Chytridiaceae. The record is from the annotation of a GenBank genome assembly.
GGGCAGAUGGCUGAGUUGGUCUAAAGCGCCAGAUUAGGGCUCUGGUCUCUCUGGCGGCAUGGGUUCAAUUACCCCUCCACUCA